GGUUCCAUAGUGUAACGGUUAACACAUCUGCUUUACAUGCAGAAGGUCCUGGGUUUGUGCCCCAGUGGAGCCA
RNAcentral lists this transfer RNA (73 nucleotides) under Pteropus alecto (black flying fox). It matches the Rfam family "tRNA". Rfam says of the family: Transfer RNA (tRNA) molecules are approximately 80 nucleotides in length. Their secondary structure includes four short double-helical elements and three loops (D, anti-codon, and T loops). The record is from Rfam by way of RNAcentral. Lineage: Eukaryota; Metazoa; Chordata; Mammalia; Chiroptera; Pteropodidae.